AGGCCGGUAGCCAAGCGGCUCAAGGCAUCCGCCUUUUAAGCGGGGGAACGUCGGUUCGAAUCCGACCCGGCCUA
RNAcentral lists this transfer RNA (74 nucleotides) under Acidobacteriota bacterium. RNAcentral's name for it is "Acidobacteria bacterium (rhizosphere metagenome) tRNA-Lys". It matches the Rfam family "tRNA". From Rfam's summary of the family: Transfer RNA (tRNA) molecules are approximately 80 nucleotides in length. Their secondary structure includes four short double-helical elements and three loops (D, anti-codon, and T loops). The record is from RNAcentral. Lineage: Bacteria; Pseudomonadati; Acidobacteriota.